This 497-nucleotide ribosomal RNA is filed under the name uncultured bacterium. RNAcentral's name for it is "partial 16S ribosomal RNA". It matches the Rfam family "Bacterial small subunit ribosomal RNA", at positions 28 to 507 of the family's 1533-position model. The record is from RNAcentral.
GAUGAACGCUGGCGGCGUGCCUAAUACAUGCAAGUCGAGCGAACAGACGAGGAGCUUGCUCCUCUGACGUUAGCGGCGGACGGAUGAGUAACACGUGGAUAACCUACCUAUAAGACUGGGAUAACUUCGGGAAACCGGAGCUAAUACCGGAUAAUAUAUUGAACCGCAUGGUUCAAUAGUGAAAGACGGUUUUGCUGUCACUUAUAGAUGGAUCCGCGCCGCAUUAGCUAGUUGGUAAGGUAACGGCUUGCCAAGGCAACGAUGCGUAGCCGACCUGAGAGGGUGAUCGGCCACACUGGAACUGAGACACGGUCCAGACUCCUACGGGAGGCAGCAGUAGGGAAUCUUCCGCAAUGGGCGAAAGCCUGACGGAGCAACGCCGCGUGAGUGAUGAAGGUCUUCGGAUCGUAAAACUCUGUUAUUAGGGAAGAACAAAUGUGUAAGUAACUAUGCACGUCUUGACGGUACCUAAUCAGAAAGCCACGGCUAACUACGUG